GACGAACGCUGGCGGCGUGCUUAACACAUGCAAGUCGAACGGAAAGGCCUGCAGCUUGCUGCGGGUACUCGAGUGGCGAACGGGUGAGUAACACGUGGGUGAUCUGCCUUGCACUUCGGGAUAAGCUUGGGAAACUGGGUCUAAUACCGGAUAGGACAGCUGUUUAGUGUCAGUUGUGGAAAGUUUUUUCGGUGCAAGAUGAGCUCGCGGCCUAUCAGCUUGUUGGUGGGGUAAUGGCCUACCAAGGCGUCGACGGGUAGCCGGCCUGAGAGGGUGUACGGCCACAUUGGGACUGAGAUACGGCCCAGACUCCUACGGGAGGCAGCAGUGGGGAAUAUUGCACAAUGGGCGGAAGCCUGAUGCAGCGACGCCGCGUGGGGGAUGAAGGCCUUCGGGUUGUAAACUCCUUUCGACAGGGACGAAGCGUAAGUGACGGUACCUGUAUAAGAAGCACCGGCUAACUACGUGCCAGCAGCCGCGGUAAUACGUAGGGUGCGAGCGUUGUCCGGAAUUACUGGGCGUAAAGAGCUCGUAGGUGGUUUGUCGCGUCGUCUGUGAAAUUCCGGGGCUUAACUCCGGGCGUGCAGGCGAUACGGGCUGACUUGAGUGCUGUAGGGGAGACUGGAAUUCCUGGUGUAGCGGUGAAAUGCGCAGAUAUCAGGAGGAACACCGAUGGCGAAGGCAGGUCUCUGGGCAGUAACUGACGCUGAGGAGCGAAAGCAUGGGUAGCGAACAGGAUUAGAUACCCUGGUAGUCCAUGCCGUAAACGGUGGGUGCUAGGUGUAGGGGGCUUCCACGUCUUCUGUGCCGUAGCUAAUGCAUUAAGCGCCCCGCCUGGGGAGUACCGGCCGCAAGGCUA
This 859-nucleotide ribosomal RNA is filed under the name uncultured Actinomycetes bacterium. Its description in RNAcentral is "bacterial SSU rRNA". It matches the Rfam family "Bacterial small subunit ribosomal RNA", at positions 28 to 896 of the family's 1533-position model. The record is from RNAcentral. Lineage: Bacteria; Bacillati; Actinomycetota; Actinomycetes.